AAGAAAUUCAAGUUGGAGGAAGUAGAACUUUUUAUUAGGCAGCAAAAUCAUGCAAGCACACCAUCAACAAUGAUGAAGAUCAUGAACUUCAGCGAAAAUAAAGAUGUGCCCUACCACCACUACUGCUUGAGGGGACAUACUGACUUACUGCCACUUACUUGAGGGGACUCCUGCUUUGAUUUGGAAAGUGGAGGAAGAUGGCAGGAAGAUCCUCAGCUUUAAACAACAACUGGUUGAAAAACGGGAUCCUAGUGAAGUGGCAUCUUCUCAGCCUACAUAAGGGUAAGGAGAGGGGAGCCCCAACACAGAAGUCAGAGUGACCAUGCUGCUUUGUUAGGAUCCAUGUUUAUCCCCAGGAUGGACAUUUAUCACAAAGGCAUAUGGAAGAGUUCAAGGUAGAGCUGCCUGCCUGUCUGAUCGUCAAUUUGUGCCUUCUACUGCUGUGAGAAUUGCUAUCAACCUUAUCUGAAGACUAUCAUCACUCUGGGGCUGCAAGAACUGACUGCAAGGCUGAAGGUGCUGAAGCUGGACUGUUNGGGGUGGGGUCAGGCAGACAUUUAAGCAGCAGAGGGACCAAGACAGCAGCAUAAGGGAA
Molecule: long non-coding RNA, 595 nt
Filed under: Salvator merianae (Argentine black and white tegu)
Lineage: Eukaryota; Metazoa; Chordata; Lepidosauria; Squamata; Teiidae
Description: lncRNA (ENSSMRG00000001037.1)
Source: RNAcentral